UGUGUUAAAAUUUCAUAGAUUUCUAUUCACUUUUACUAAAGUUAGAGUGCGAAAACUAAAAGUAUUCGGACGCCGGACGACGACGACGACGACGACGACGCCGACGCCGACGCCAACGUGAUAGCAAUAUACGACGAAAAUUUUUUCAAAAUUUGCGGUCGUAUAAAAAUCAAACAAAACAUAAACCACUAAAAAAAAGAGCUAAGUAAUGUUAACAGAUGCUGUACAAAGCAUUAAAUAUAUCUAGCCAUUGUUAUGUUUUUAACCUAAAUAUAGACAGCUGUCAAACAUUUAUGCUAUGAAAUCUAGAAAGUGAACAGUUUAAGCUUGAGAUUUAUUACACAUGACAGUGCAGUCAGUCUUUCUUUUGAUCAAGAAAGCAAAUGUCCAUCUAUACAAAGAAAUAAUGACAUUGGUCCUGUGGUAGCUAGCAUUAAGUUGCUAAGGGAUGUUUUCCAUUUGAUUGUCAGGAAUGAUUGUUUACCUGUUUAUAAUUUAGGGACUAUGGACCUAAAAAAACUUAUGACUAAGAUUGAUCUUAAGUAUACAGAAUUGUUCAUGACUUAUGAUCAAUCUUAGUCCGAAGUUUUUUUGUGAAAUCGACUCCAGUCGCUUAACUGCUUAUUAUAGGACUUUAUAAGGGACUAUAUUUUUACAUCAUGAUAAGAACACCAGUCAAGUUAUUCAAUUUGACAACCCCUAUUUCAGAACAACACUAUCCUGCUUGUUUUUUUACCUUACAUAUUAAUUGACAAACUCAAUUCAACAGUCCAGCUUUAAACUAAAUUAAUUUAUCACUUAAACUUAUUCAAGUCAUAGUUAUCUUUCAGAUUACAAAUAUAUCAAAAAUAAAGAAAUUUCUACUAACUGUAAGAGCAUUUAUAUUCAAGGAGUUUAACUUUGAUGAUUUCCUUGGCUAAAGCUUUUUUUUAACGUUUUAUUUACUUAUUUUAUUUCUUCCUGUUUCUGAAAAGAUCAAAGGAGUAGGGGCAUUAAGGCCUGGUUUUGGCCCAAGAAAAUAAAAUGUUUGAUAACUUUCUCAAAUUGGCACAUAAUGUUUAGAAAUGCAUAGGGUCAAGAAUAUCAAUGAAAAACAUUAAGAUUUUUAUGUGAUGACGUCACAAUUACGUCAUAAUUAGUACUGUUUUCAUAAAAAUGAUGAAAA
This 1165-nucleotide long non-coding RNA is filed under the name Mytilus galloprovincialis (Mediterranean mussel). Lineage: Eukaryota; Metazoa; Mollusca; Bivalvia; Mytilida; Mytilidae. The record is from RNAcentral.